RNAcentral lists this unclassified non-coding RNA (240 nucleotides) under Hevea brasiliensis (rubber tree). Lineage: Eukaryota; Viridiplantae; Streptophyta; Magnoliopsida; Malpighiales; Euphorbiaceae. The record is from RNAcentral.
AAGAACUGGUUAUUGUUUUUAUACUAAUGUUAGUGGUAGCUUAGCUCAUUAAUUUCUUGCAGUACAGUUGCUCUAUGUCAGUCGCUAAUUGUGCUUUCCAGCUGAGCUGAUUGUACUCAACAUUGCAUAGUUAAUCAAUUGAUGAUUAGUUGGUUGAUUACGAAGCUCAACUAGAACAAAAUCAUAUUCCUAGCACAGAAAGAAUAUCUUCACCUGGAAAUGCAUAAAAAAAUGCUCAAG